RNAcentral lists this ribosomal RNA (229 nucleotides) under Staphylococcus aureus. RNAcentral's name for it is "partial 23S ribosomal RNA". It matches the Rfam family "Bacterial large subunit ribosomal RNA", at positions 1739 to 1967 of the family's 2925-position model. The record is from RNAcentral. Lineage: Bacteria; Bacillati; Bacillota; Bacilli; Caryophanales; Staphylococcaceae.
GGAGAAAGGGUGAUCUAUAGGGUUAACGCCCAGAAGAGCCGCAGUGAAUAGUCCCAAAAUACUGUUUAUCAAAAACACAGGUCUCUGCUAAACCGUAAGGUGAUGUAUAUGGGCUGACGCCUGCCCGGUGCUGGAAGGUUAAGAGGAGUGGUUAGAUUAAGCGAAGCUACAAAUCGAAUCCCCAGUAAACGGCGGCCGUAACAAUAACGGUCCUAAGGUAGCGAAAUUC